UGUGAGGGCGAUUUUGCAACCAUCGGUAACAUCUGCGUCGUGCCGGGCAUGGCAUUGGAGGGGGCGAACUGAGUGGGGGAUGGUCAGGCUGGCAUGUGGGCAUGAGCAGAGUCCCGAGGGGGGCACGGGACUCGCAUACUGGGGGUCUCAGCUCCACAGCAGAGGUGUUUAAUUCUGUUCUCCCUGAGUGUGGGCAUCGCGGCAACCUGCUCGCCCUGUUCCACAGCACUCGUUCUGGAGGAAGCCAGCUGCCAUGUCGUGAGGAUACUCAAGGCAUCCCGUGGGGACUGAGGCCUCCCGCCAACAGCCACGUGAGUGUGCCGUUUUGGAAGCAGAUCUCCCGGCGCCAGUCGAGCCUUCAGAGUUUUUAAGAAUGAAAAAUCCCCACUUACCCGUCCCUGAGAAGCUGACUGUGGGCCUGAGUGUAAGAAGCCGACUGAAGAUACGAUUCUUGGUCCUGAGAUGUGGGGCAGACCCACCAGGAGAAACACUUGCAUUUCUUCCAGUGACACCGAGACCCGGAGAAGUGGGAGGUGAUGCAGGGGGCUGCUGAGCCCAGCAUGUCCUGGGGCCACAUUAUUUCAGGUUUUUGUGACUUGCUGAGGAAGGGUUUCCCUACCCAAGAUCAUGAAAAUAUUUCCCCUUUGGGCCUACACGUCUCUUCUUGAGGUUUGGCUUCUCUUCCUUCUGUCCCAUGGAUCGGUCUGUUCCUGACCCCAUACCCCACAGUUAUUGUAUGUUCACCUGUUGUCCAUCACUGCCCAUGAGAAUUAGAGGCUUCCUGGGGACAGAUAUUCUUGCCUGUUCUGUUCCACGCUGUCGCCCUGGUGCUCAGCAGGUGCCUGGUGCAUGGGAGGGAUGCGGUACCCACGACUCCCAAGGCUGAGAGGGUGUUUCGCCAAGAUACUCUUCCCCUCCUCGGCCCCCACCCCUAUCUCCUGCCCCCUCCCUGCACGGUUCCCACUGUCUGGGGGCCUCUGCUCGCCUGCCUGGUGUCCCUUCUUGCCCCUGUCCCCACAGCCCACCCACUCCACUAAUCUCCGUCCUACCCAACCGGGGACGAAUCCAUUCAAGCAAGGACAAGAGACUCCCCUCCUCCCACACAACCAGGCAGCCCUCUGAAGGCCUCAACAAGGGCAAGGGGGUGCUGGCCAGGAGGCUGGCUGGACACCCCGUCUGAAGAGAUACGGUUUUAUGCCUCAUGGUUCACACGUCAUUGGCCCCCACGAUUGCUCAUGAGCUCAAUUGUAUGUAAGUAGCCAUUAAUUUCUACUGUAAUUGGUGGAGAGGAGCAGCAGGGUUUCCAUUAAGGGAUAAGAAAGUUCCAACCUCAAGCUGCUAAUCAAUAAAAUGAGAGCAUAAUGAUACACCGCAGAGCUCCAUAAACUCACUCAUCGCUAACAAGAUGACACAAUUCCCAAGGCGGCCUCGGGGGCCACGGUCUUGCUUGCUGUUCUGCGGCUGGACAAGUUCAGGCUGAUAACGGUAAUCCCGGGAGGACCAGUGGGAGGGGAGAGGCGGGGCACGCUGGGAGGCAGGCCCCACAGGACUUGGGCUGUUUGGAUGUGGAUUUGAGGGGGAGGGAGGCACAGAGGCCGCCGGCUCCCAAGAGUCUGGCCUGCAUAGCUGGGGAAGGGUGACAGGCCCAGCAACCGUGCAGAGAGGCAAAGACGAGGCUGCUCUGUGCACCGUGGGUCACCUCCCUGAGCCCCGGUUUCCUCAUCUGUCAGAGGGGUAUCAGAAUCUCUGUCCCCACAGCACCUCCGAGAGUGUGGGCGUUGUGAACAUUGAGAAGUUCAUCACACCCUCUAUGGAACCUGCACAAUUCUCAUAAAUUCUGUCUGACCGAGUCAGCGUGGCCUGACCCUGAGGCCCCGGGCACCGAAGUGGGCACUCAGUCACGUGGUCGUGGGUGUGUGAUUUGGCUUUUAUGAUAAGUGGCUGGGAAAUGUUUUUGGCAAUGCAGGUGGGUGUCCCUAGAGGGCCGGGACCCUAGUGGGAGACCCCCACCGGACUGGUGGACCCCGGGUGCCUUUAGACCAGCACCUUCUAAACCAGCCUGGGGAAAAGCAGCCCUCACAAAGGACAGCCUUGGACAAGCAGGGGUUAAUGGGGUCAAUGGAAGGAACGGACUAUUGGUCCAGCCUUCAGGACCUCACUGAUUCAUUCAGUUAUUCAUUUGCUCAUUCCCUCCCUCCCUCGGCUGUUUAUUCACGCCGUGGGGGAGGACCAGCGAAAAACAAGAACAUGGACAAAGAAACCUCGAAUCAACUGCCUGCUAUGAAGAAAACCAACAGGGGGCUGAAACGGCAAAUGACAAGGUCCCUGCUUGUCAGGAAAGCCUUUCGGAGGAGGUGGCCAUCCAGCUGAGCCCAGAGAGCAGAGGGGCGGGAGUUCUGGGAAGAGGGAAGAGCACUGGCCAAGGCCCUGAGGUGGGAAAAGCUCAGUGUGUUUGAGAAAUGACGUGGCUGGA
Molecule: long non-coding RNA, 2473 nt
Organism: Mirounga angustirostris (Northern elephant seal)
Lineage: Eukaryota; Metazoa; Chordata; Mammalia; Carnivora; Phocidae
Exons: 4
Source: RefSeq, a predicted model, not a curated record